UACGUAGGCAGCAAGCGUUGUUCGGAUUUACUGGGCGUAAAGGGUGUGUAGGCGGUCUACUAAGUCUGGUGUGAAAUCUCCCGGCUCAACUGGGAGGGUGCGCCGGAAACUGGAAGGCUAGAGUGCGGGAUGGGAGAGUGGAAUUCCUGGUGUAGCGGUGAGAUGCGUAGAUAUCAGGAGGAACACCUGUGGUGUAGACGGCUCUCUGGACCGCAACUGACGCUGAGACACGAAAGCGUGGGUAGCAAACAGG
Molecule: ribosomal RNA, 253 nt
Filed under: uncultured bacterium
Lineage: Bacteria
Description: partial 16S ribosomal RNA
Rfam family: Bacterial small subunit ribosomal RNA
Source: RNAcentral